This 1433-nucleotide ribosomal RNA is filed under the name uncultured organism. RNAcentral describes it as "16S ribosomal RNA". It matches the Rfam family "Bacterial small subunit ribosomal RNA". The record is from RNAcentral.
CAGGCUUAACACAUGCAAGUCGAGGGGCAGCAUGGUCUUAGCUUGCUAAGGCCGAUGGCGACCGGCGCACGGGUGAGUAACGCGUAUCCAACCUGCCUUACACUCUUGGACAGCCUUCUGAAAGGGAGAUUAAUACAAGAUGUUAUCAUGAGUAAGCAUUUUCGCAUGAUUAAAGGUUUACCGGUGUAAGAUGGGGAUGCGUUCCAUUAGAUAGUAGGCGGGGUAACGGCCCACCUAGUCUUCGAUGGAUAGGGGUUCUGAGAGGAAGGUCCCCCACAUUGGAACUGAGACACGGUCCAAACUCCUACGGGAGGCAGCAGUGAGGAAUAUUGGUCAAUGGACGAGAGUCUGAACCAGCCAAGUAGCGUGAAGGAUGAAGGUUCUAUGGAUUGUAAACUUCUUUUAUACGGGAAUAAACGAAUCCACGUGUGGAUUUUUGCAUGUACCGUAUGAAUAAGGAUCGGCUAACUCCGUGCCAGCAGCCGCGGUAAUACGGAGGAUCCGAGCGUUAUCCGGAUUUAUUGGGUUUAAAGGGAGCGUAGAUGGGUUGUUAAGUCAGUUGUGAAAGUUUGCGGCUCAACCGUAAAAUUGCAAUUGAUACUGGCAGUCUUGAGUACAGUUGAGGUAGGCGGAAUUCGUGGUGUAGCGGUGAAAUGCUUAGAUAUCACGAAGAACUCCGAUUGCGAAGGCAGCUUACUAACCUGUAACUGACAUUGAUGCUCGAAAGUGUGGGUAUCAAACAGGAUUAGAUACCCUGGUAGUCCACACGGUAAACGAUGAAUACUCGCUGUAGGCGAUAUACAGUCUGCGGCCAAGCGAAAGCAUUAAGUAUUCCACCUGGGGAGUACGCCGGCAACGGUGAAACUCAAAGGAAUUGACGGGGGCCCGCACAAGCGGAGGAACAUGUGGUUUAAUUCGAUGAUACGCGAGGAACCUUACCCGGGCUUAAAUUGCAACCGAAUAUGGCGGAAACGCUAUAGCUAGCAAUAGCGGUUGUGAAGGUGCUGCAUGGUUGUCGUCAGCUCGUGCCGUGAGGUGUCGGCUUAAGUGCCAUAACGAGCGCAGCCCUUGCCGAUAGUUACUAACAGGUCAUGCUGAGGACUCUGUCGGGACUGCCAUCGUAAGAUGUGAGGAAGGUGGGGAUGACGUCAAAUCAGCACGGCCCUUACGUCCGGGGCUACACACGUGUUACAAUGGGGGGUACAGAGGGCUGCUACCACGCAAGUGGAUGCCAAUCCCAAAAACCUCUCUCAGUUCGGAUUGAAGUCUGCAACCCGACUUCAUGAAGCUGGAUUCGCUAGUAAUCGCGCAUCAGCCACGGCGCGGUGAAUACGUUCCCGGGCCUUGUACACACCGCCCGUCAAGCCAUGGGAGCCGGGGGUACCUGAAGUGCGUAACCGCAAGGAGCGCCCUAGGGUAAAACUGGUGACUGG